GGUGAUGAUAUUCAGUGUGUAUAAAGUUUCAGUUAUGCAAAAUGAGGAAGCCAAAAGAUGGGACAACCCUGCCCUAGGCCUUCACAUUCACUCUCCACUAACUCACUGACUCACCCAGAGCAACAUCCAGUCCUGCAAGCUCCAUUCAUGGCUGGUUUUGAACUGCUCGCCUCAAGUGAUCCUCCUGCCAGGGCCUCUCAAGUGUUGGGAUUACAGGUGUGAACCACUAUGCCCAGCCUCCUUUUUAACAGAAGGAAAAGUCAAAACUCAGAGAGGUUAUAUAACUUAUCAAGGUCAUGUAACACUACUCGGAUAAAUGGGAGAAAGAGUCUGGGGAAGUGGCUUCAGAAGAAUGAAUAUGAGACACAGAAUGUGAAUUACAGUGUCACUCUCUGAAAGAGAACAAAGUAAUUUUCUGAAGGGAAGCUGCAGAAUAUGGAAAAC
This 444-nucleotide small RNA is filed under the name Pongo abelii (Sumatran orangutan). Its description in RNAcentral is "processed transcript". The record is from RNAcentral. Lineage: Eukaryota; Metazoa; Chordata; Mammalia; Primates; Hominidae.